GAUGAACGCUCGCUACAGGCUUAACACAUGCAAGUCGCGGGGCGGCAUGGGGGUUGCUUGCAAUCCCCGAUGGCGACCGGCGCACGGGUGAGUAACGCGUAUUCAACCUGCCCUUCACCACGGGAUAACCCGGCGAAAGUCGGACUAAUACCGUAUGUUGUCCAUUGACGGCAUCCGAUUUGGACGAAAGGCUUGGCGGUGAGGGAUGGGGAUGCGUCCGAUUAGCCAGACGGCGGGGUAACGGCCCACCGUGGCUACGAUCGGUAGGGGUUCUGAGAGGAAGGUCCCCCACACGGGAACUGAGACACGGUCCAGACUCCUACGGGAGGCAGCAGUGAGGAAUAUUGGUCAAUGGGCGUAAGCCUGAACCAGCCAAGUAGCGUGCAGGAUGACGGCCCUAUGGGUUGUAAACUGCUUUUAUGCGGGGAUAAAGUGGCCCACGUGUGGGCUUUUGCAGGGACCGAAUGAAUAAGGACCGGCUAAUUCCG
This 488-nucleotide ribosomal RNA is filed under the name uncultured bacterium. Its description in RNAcentral is "partial 16S ribosomal RNA". It matches the Rfam family "Bacterial small subunit ribosomal RNA", at positions 28 to 505 of the family's 1533-position model. The record is from RNAcentral.